Molecule: long non-coding RNA, 794 nt
Organism: Gopherus evgoodei (Goodes thornscrub tortoise)
Lineage: Eukaryota; Metazoa; Chordata; Testudines; Testudinidae
Exons: 6
Source: RefSeq, a predicted model, not a curated record
GUACCGUGCGAAGAGCAGCAGGAGGCCCUGGGUGGCGCAGGGCCCCGGGGACCUGCCCGCGGGGCUGGAGGGGACAGAGGAGCAGGUGGCGCCAGCAAGGGGAGAGCCUGUUGCUGGGAGAGACUGAAGACACUGGAGCGGCCUCUUUCGAGGCGUUGCUCGUGGCAGGCCAGGACUCAGCACCCUGGCUCAGAUCCCCGGCCAGCACCGCAUGCUUCAGCCAGUGCAGAUUGCUGCUGCUUACUGAGUAUUCACUGAAUGGCCCAUAUGACGCCUCAGUCUUCUUUCCUGAGUGGUUAUGGUUCAUGUAGAGUGGAUCCCCCAGUAAAAGAAGACUUGUUCUACUAAGACCCUGGCAGUGGUUGGGCACAUGCCAGACAGUUUUCACAAUAUUGUUGCACAUCCAUCCUAAGAAGUGGCCACCAUCCUACAGAUGCAAGACAUUGGACAGUUUUGUCCACUCCCUGAUGUCCUCCUGUAGGAGUGUCAUGGACCAUGUACAUCAUUUCCCUCUGAAGAUGUUCUUGGUAGCUGAAGCAGCAAGAAAACAAAGAGCUUUGUUAUUCUGGAUUUUGAAAGGUUCAUAAAAGAAAAGGCAUUGAAGUAUCUUCAAAAACAACACUGUACAAGGUACUAGAGUGCCCAGAGAUGCCCAUGGUACCAGGUGCUGAACGUCAGUAGUCUGCAAAUCCUCAUGAAUGACCAUCCAAAUGAUCAAUCUUCAUGAUCCAUUCCGUGGUGAGCUGGGAAAAAAAAUGCAUUUGCUAAUCAAUGUCUGAACAGUCUGAAGCUCC